RNAcentral lists this transfer RNA (72 nucleotides) under Bos taurus (domestic cattle). It matches the Rfam family "tRNA". Rfam says of the family: Transfer RNA (tRNA) molecules are approximately 80 nucleotides in length. Their secondary structure includes four short double-helical elements and three loops (D, anti-codon, and T loops). The record is from Rfam by way of RNAcentral. Lineage: Eukaryota; Metazoa; Chordata; Mammalia; Artiodactyla; Bovidae. RNAcentral also lists the same sequence under 4 other names.
UCCCUGGUGACUUAGGUGGUAAAGAAUCUGCUUGCAAUGCAGGAGACCCAGGUUCAAUCCCGGGGUAGGGAA